UAACAUUCUUACCCUUUGAAUUGCUGGGAGC
This 31-nucleotide non-coding RNA is filed under the name Rattus norvegicus (Norway rat). Lineage: Eukaryota; Metazoa; Chordata; Mammalia; Rodentia; Muridae. The record is from RNAcentral.